UACGGAAGGUGCAAGCGUUAGUCGGCCUUAUUGGGCGUAAAGGGUGCGUAGGCGGGAAAAUAAGUCGGACGUGAAAUUCUGGGGCUUAACCUCAGAGCUGCAUCCGAAACUGUUUUUCUAGAGGAAUGGCGGAGAAGACGGAAUUCCAUGUGUAGCGGUUAAAUGCGUAGAUAUAUGGAAGAACACCUGUGGCGAAAGCGGUCUUCUAGCCUCCUCCUGACGCUGAUGCACGAAAGCAAGGGGAGCAAACAGU
RNAcentral lists this ribosomal RNA (253 nucleotides) under uncultured bacterium. Its description in RNAcentral is "partial 16S ribosomal RNA". It matches the Rfam family "Bacterial small subunit ribosomal RNA", at positions 524 to 776 of the family's 1533-position model. The record is from RNAcentral.